This 334-nucleotide unclassified non-coding RNA is filed under the name Hevea brasiliensis (rubber tree). The record is from RNAcentral. Lineage: Eukaryota; Viridiplantae; Streptophyta; Magnoliopsida; Malpighiales; Euphorbiaceae.
GUUUCAAAUUACAGCGAGAAGCGACUCCGAGAAGCUCAUAAGAUGCUCAAGAAAAGAGGUAUUCCACUAGCUUCAAACCAGGUGAAUUAUAGCCUCAUAUACAGACUACCAGAAGAGAACGGUGUGAAGGCCACCUGUGACGAACUUGGAAUCACCUUAAUUGCUUAUUCGCCUAUUGCUCAAGGUGUUCUUACGGGAAAAUACACUCCCGCAAAUCCUCCAACUGGUCCUCGAGGUCGAAUAUAUACUCCAGAGUUUUUAACCAAGCUCCAACCUCUUCUGAAUCGGAUACGUGACAUAGGACAGAACUACAAUAAAACACCCACACAGGUUG